CCGGCGACCGGCGCACGGGUGAGUAACACGUAUGCAACCUGGCCGCCACAGGGGGAUAACCCGCGGAAACACGGCCUAAUACCCCGUGACGCCACCGGAGGGCAUCCUCCGGUGGCCAAAGGAGCGAUCCGGUGGCGGAUGGGCAUGCGGCGCAUUAGCUAGACGGCGGGGUGACGGCCCACCGUGGCGACGAUGCGUAGGGGUUCUGAGAGGAAGGCCCCCCACACUGGGACUGAGACACGGCCCAGACUCCUACGGGAGGCAGCAG
RNAcentral lists this ribosomal RNA (268 nucleotides) under uncultured bacterium. Its description in RNAcentral is "partial 16S ribosomal RNA". It matches the Rfam family "Bacterial small subunit ribosomal RNA", at positions 88 to 354 of the family's 1533-position model. The record is from RNAcentral.